CGAACCCACGAACUGCGAGAUCAUGACCUGAGCCAGAGUUGGAUGCUUAACCGACUGAGCCACCCAGGCGCCCCUGAACAUGGAGCCACUUUAAAAUGGGAUUAAUUAGGACACUGAUUCACAUUAUUUUUAAUACUAUUGAAGCUGCUACGAUAUACAACAGGAAAGUGGCCCAAAACAGUACAAAAAACUCACAGUAAACAUUAUUUUCUACUUGACUAAAAAGAACAUUAAAACAUCAACGAUCUUUCCUGAUACUUUUUUAUUUUACUUGAAAAGAAAAGGAAGCCUUCUCCCCUCAUCAUAAUUUCAUAAAUUCAUGAUUUCCCUUCUCUCAAGCUAUAGUUAUCAGUGGCAUUUAAAAUCUCUGAAACUUCAUUUAUUCCAAUUAAAACAGAAGAGGUAACUAUUAAUUGUAACUCUUCAACCACUUCUGUAAAGUUAUUAGAAAUUUUAUUUAUAUGUUCACAAUGUAAUUCUGUAAAAAAUGCAAGCCCCCAAAUAGUGUGCUUUCAUAGGGAGAAGCAACAGGUGAAACAAGGGUAAAUCUCCAUAAGCUUGGGUGACCAGGAAGUACGUCCUCACUUUUCUAUGUGCCUGUUAUAGAGUUAAUUUCUAUAUCAGGCCAAGUAGGAAGGCCAGAAUGAGAGGUGACAGAAACUUACGCUCAAUUUGGACUUCUCUUUGCUUCUUGAAGUCUAGGGACUGAUUUAGUUUCUGGGCAUCAGAGGGGCAGGGAGAAGGGGUCUUUGGUCCUUAGUGUCAUCCUUUAACCAGCUACAUCUCAACACACACAUGAAACCAGUGACAUGGUAAAAUUACAGGCUGUACCCCAUUGGCUAUUGUAGACAUCUGAGCUCGUGAAAACAAAAGUGAUAGCAUACUGCUCUCCACCAGAACCAAGUGAUAGAUUUUAUUAACUAAGCUCUGAGAAGCUCAAAGCAAUUUCAGAUAAGUUUAAAAUGUUAUGUAAGGUCAAUGGGUAUAAUGAGUUCUACAUCAAUUAUAUAGUGUUCUACAUCUAUAUAAUUAAAAUAAUAUAUAAGGUUCAGUGUAUGUGAUAUGCUGAACAAUAUCGUGAGAAGUGGGUGAUUUUUAUCAAUAGGAAAUCAUGACCAUGAAACAAAUCCCGUGGUUUUAAACACAUAGGAAAAUAAUAAUGGGUUCGAAGUACACGAAAAUAUAAGCCCACUUGGAACUUCAUACAUAUCUGUGCAGCCUUAUGUAUGUAACAAUACAAAAAAAUCAGAAAAAAUGCAUUCUAAGGUGUAACAUUAGUUAUUUCAGAGCAGCAGGAUCUCUGAUGAUUUAAAAAUUUCGCCUUUCAUUUUUGUGAUUUUCUAAAUUUUCUUUAAUACACAUUAUCAUUUCUAGAAUAAAAAUAAUUAAAUUGCAUUUCUGUAUUCUACUUUUGAGGGUAUUAUUACUGAGACAGAAGUAUGUGUGUCUGCUCAUGUGCACCCGUGCUGAGUGUGAAGGUAGCAUGAGGGCCGACUGUAUUCUAGGCAGUAGAAAUAAGCUUAAGUGAUGAUGAAAUUGGGGAGGGCAUACAAAGAGUGUGGAUGAGAAAAAGCAGGUACAGUGGAAGGGCAAACCCUAUCUCACAGGGUACUCAUUGCCAGCUGACUGCUGCAUAGCUCAUAGCAACUUUUCAUGAGAAGCCAGAUAUCUAGAUUUUUGUGUGAAAUUUUUUGAUGUUGGAAGUAAAUUAGUUUUUAAUUGGGAAGCACUGUAUCUGCCACACCAAAGAUAUCUGUAGGACAAAUGUAGCUUCCGGGGAGUGUAUCUAGACUUUUCUGCUCAGACCUAUUGGUCCAUAGUUUGAUAAAUUAAUUUACAGUGCUUCCCAACAUAUUUGAAACCAGAGCACACAUAAAGAUAUGAUAACAUUCGUACAGCACACUGAAAGGAGCUUCUUGUUGCCUGGAGAUAUCUGAGCUGUGACCUCCUAAUGCCUAGGUCUCAUCCCCUCUCCUACCCCGGCCCACCCUGACUCAUUAAGGAGCUGAAGAGCUAUCUCGGAUAUCCCUGUAACUCACCAUAAUGCAUUUGCAUCACCCACUAUGGUAUGGCCCACUCUACCUGAAAGCGUGGAGGAAAUGAAAUGAACAUGGCUUUCGGUGGUGGUGGAAUAGGGAACAGGGUUAUGGGGAGAAAUCCCAGGAUGCAGAGAGCAUGUGGCAGGAAGCAGGGAGGGUGGCUGUCUGGGCUGGGGCACCUCAGUCAAGAGCCUGAAUCCUAAUCAACUUGUGUGAGCUCCUUGCAGACCAGGACUAUAAAGGUCUUUGUGUCCCUGGGCCCUGGUGCAGAGGCUAACAGAGAAAGUGCCUAGCAAAUGUUUGUUGAAUAAAUGAAGUGCAGUCCCAGGGUGCUGAUUCAGGAAGGAGAGGCCUUACCUCAAGGUUCUACCACUUUUUGGGGAUAGAGGGUAGGUACAUUCCCUGAAUUACUCUAACUAUGGACACCUACUACUCCUUUCUCCUCCCUCCACCCCCAGAUCCCUUUCCCUGAGGAAUUUAACUUAUCCUUAGGAAUCAUACUGACUCUUCCUACCCCUCAGAAAAUACUCUUGGACUUGUUUUUCUUUCUUACGUCUCCUUCCCUCCAACCCCCCCCCCCCCCCAAAUAGGGCAUGAUGCAAGAGGAAAUGCUAGUUAGUUUAAACCCACUGAGGGUGCACAAGAUUUCUAUAAAGCACAAGGGCCUAAAGAAAGAUUUCCUGGAUGGAAUCCAGUUUCUGGAUCUUCAGCUUCCUUCACUGUCCUUAAAACUGAUCUGCCUGAAGAUAUCCUUGAGGUGUGGUGCUGUUUCCUUUGUCACUGCCUCUUGCAUAAUCCCCCUCCCCUCCACCUCCCUCAUUAUGAAAGGGCCUCCCUCCCCCUGGAGAGGUUACUGCAGCCCAUUGCCCUGGGGUGGAAGAACCUCUAAAGUGGCAGACAAGAAGACAAUUCAAAUUAUUGGCUUGGAUGGUGAGAGGGGGGAAUAAUUAUAAUAAUCCUUUUGAAACUCAGGAGGUUUUCAGUUCUUUACUUUGAACAGAAUUAAAGGGGAAACUAAUUGAGCGGUCAGCUGGUGAUUCAUUAAAAAAUAAUUUUUAUGAUUCAUUACUAUGUGAUUUCAAUUAUAUAACUCUGAAGGGGUUCAAAUAAUUGUAGGUCAUUGCUGUAAUAAAACUUUCAGUCUCGUGUUCUUAUGUAUGUGACUAAGUUUUUCGGCACUUGAACAUUAAAAAAGAAAGUUACAUGUAAGUCUAAUUCUAGCAUAAGUAAUAUUAACCCACAGAUACAAAAGCUCAUUGAAAAAAAGGCCCCGUUAUCUCAUUAAAACAUAUGCUGACAGUAAAAUGUUAACCUAUAUUUAACAUUUAUGUAAAUGUGUCAUUCGUGGUGGUUGAUCAGUGUUGUCAUUAAAUAACUAUAAUGGUAAUGACAGAAGAAAGAAAUGCCAGCAUUAUAGAACCAGAGAACAUUUCGAUUUGUAUGUGUAUUUUUAUUGGAAAGAAUUAUGAUAGAAUGACCAAUCAUGGAUUUCAAGCAUCAAAAAUAUGCCAUAUUAGAAUAAAAUUUUGUGGGGAAAAUGGAAUGGAAAUACGAGUUAAGGAGAAACAUGAUGUGAAAUUUCUGACAUAAAAGAAUUUGUUCCUAUAUAUUUUUUUAAUGAUGUGGGAAUUAAACAUCUCUGGUGUUUACAUUCCUGGAUUAUAUUUAAGAAUCACAUAAUAGUUUUUUAAACAAUAUGUCAAUAGUUAUAAUACACCAGAUAUAUAAUUAUAUAAUAAUGUCAAUAGUUAUGGUACACAUCCUUUGCCACUAUUUAAAUUUAUGAUGAAAAAGUUUAGGUGCAAAUUUUAAAAUGUGUGAGGGACUAUAAAGUUUUCCGAAAUUAUUUUAGGGAGCAUAGAAGCAGAGCCUAACGACAACUGAUUUAGGAGCCAGGGCCUAGGACUGAAUCAAAUCUAUUUUUCCCAGUGGUAAUAUAGACUCCAUCUUUAGAAUUAUAAUAAUCACUUUAUUUCCUUCUUCAGUGGUUAAAAAAAAAAAGCUGUAAGAAAAUCUCAGUAAUUAGCUGUUACUCAGUAAUAGGGAGAAAACAUCUAGAGUAUUUAGCUUUAAAUAACUUCUGACUGCAGAUGAUUCACAAACUUAAAGUUUUCACCCAGACCUCUCCUCUGCGUUCUAGAUGUACAUUUCCACCUACCUGACACAAGUCCACAUGGCAUCUCUGACAGGCAGUUUGCCCAACCAUGUCUGCUGUUCCAAUUCUGAUGCUGUAAUUCCCCUCCCAGAACCUCACACUGGUUUCCCUUCUCAAUAAAUGUCCCUUCCCUUAGAGUUUUAGGUACCGCGGCCCCCCUCCUCUCAUUACUGUGGCUGCCUGGAGUGUGGAGGAUGAAAAAAUAAGAAAAGGGGGAAAAAAAAAAGAUUAAAAACAACAACAAAAAAACCUAAGUGAUUUUUUUUCUGUUUUCUAGGAGCAUUAGAGAUCUCCUUUCUUGCUCAUUGGACCAGAACUAGAGCCUUCUUCUGGAAUUCUCUCUGUCUAGGCCUGGUUUCCACUUCUGGUUUUGGGCUAUCCUGAGUCCCGGCUAGGAGACCCUGGAGAGAAAAGAAAAUGGGAAACUCCCUUCUGGUUCAGCAGGACUUCAAUUUUCUUCUUUCCCUAUCUGCCUGCUACCAUUUCAUUUUAGAGUACUCAUGUAUUCUGCCCCUUUUAUGUCUGCAUUCAGUGGGUGGGACAGGAUAGAGUCAGCUUACGUCGAAAUGGAACCUCUGUAUUCUGUAUCUUAACUUCUUAUCGUAGAAUAAGCAUUUUCCAUUUGAUGAAACAGUUAAUGGGUGCAUACCACACUCUUGAUUGGACGUUUAGGUUGUUUCCAGUUUCUCCCUAUUAUAAAUUGUGAUGAGUUCAUAGUUAGAACACAGGGGAGUCUCUCUUUCUGUGGGGGCCUGGGCCUUCCAAACAAAUUCCUGUUACAGUGAGACUCUUCACCACUAGACUGUCUUUUAAAUUAGCUGAAGCUAGUAGUUGUUAAGUUAUAAGCAAGAUCAAGCAACUCUAUCCAUAGUCCAGUAGUUUGAAUUUAGGGGCAAAUGUAUUUGACCUGUAAGACUGAUAGGAGUGUAAUUGAGGGUGCAUGGGUGGUCCAGAGCAGGCAAGCCUGACCUUUACUGAAAAGACGCACAUAUAUAUCUGAAUAAUCCCAUAAACGUUAGAGCCCUCUGACUCUCUCCUUGUCUGUCUGUCUGUCUGUCUGUCUGUCUGUCUCUCUCUCUCUCUCUCUCUCAGACAACCUGGCAUAGUAAGUUGUUGGUUACUGUGAUGUGUUACACCUGCUGGAACCUGCAGAAAGCAUUACUUUUCUCUCCUGUGGUUAUGAAGCAGACCCUGUGAUCUUGGGAGACCCACAGGCUUUCAGAUACUCCCAUUUCUCUCCAUUGCCAGUACACUCUGCCUCUUCCCUGGAGUGGUGGGAGUUAUAGCCCUUACUCUCUCCUGGAGUUAGGGACCCUCAUCUUUCCAUCUCAGCGAGUCUGCGGAGGGCAGGAGGUGGCAUAAAGCUUGUGUUUCUUUCUGUCAUGUGUCAUACAUCCAUGUUCUCUGUGUAAGGGCUCUCUUGAUUGGAGAAAAAAGAACCAGAUUUUAGUUCCAACUUAGGUAGUAGGAAAUUACUCCCAUUUUCUUCUGUCAGAAUUCAUCUGUCUAAAGGGUUAGAUUUCUCUCCAGAAAGAAGGUAGCAAUUUACAUUUCCACUAAAAAUAUAUAAAAGUGCCCAUAUCACCACACCCUCACCAGUAAUUCUCAUUUAUAAUGUUUAUUAAUUUGACAGAUGAAGCAUGGCAGUUUCUUGUUUGAAAUGUUAUCUCUUUAAUUGCCUGUGAAGUGGAACAUUUUUCCAUGUUCACUGCCAGUUGAAUUUCUUCUUUGUGAAUUGUUCUUGUUCAUUGCCCAUCUAUUUCCCAAGUGUUAUAUUUUUAAAGAUCUAACAUUUUAUAUUUAUCAUUCAGAAAAAUCAGCAGUGGAAAUAUGAAGAUGUAUAACAAAACUCUAUUCUCUAGUUCUGAAAUCAUUUUACUGCAUUAUUUAUUCUAGGUCUACAUAGAAGAAUGGUGGCAAAUUUUGCAUUAAUAAUGAAAUCUAGAAAGCCUCUAAAAAUCUAAAUUAAGAUAAUGUCCUAAGUGUUCUUCUUCCAACUUUUUGAGCAAACCAGUUACCAAUGCUCUUCUUCCUGCCCUGCCUGCCCUCUGGUGGAGGUGUUAAAGAGCAGGCCUGGAGAUCAAGCAAGCCAUAAGGGAACUAGAAGUUGUGAAAAAGACCAGGCCAAGCAGAUGCAUCCUCUCUAGACUUUGAUUCAAGAACUGGUGACUCAAAGCAGCAGGGAUGACGCAGAAUCCGUUCUGGCCAAGGCAUAGCAGCAAUGGCAGCUGCAUCCGGUUUCCAGUGGCGGGAGAGACAGCUGUUCUGUGGCAGUGUGCAGUGUCCAGCAUCCAAGGACUUGGCAUUGCAAAUUACGAGAGAGAACAUGAGUGAGGAAUGGGCAGAGAGAGAGGGAGACACAG
Long non-coding RNA from Leopardus geoffroyi (Geoffroy's cat), 6557 nucleotides. RefSeq lists it as uncharacterized. Lineage: Eukaryota; Metazoa; Chordata; Mammalia; Carnivora; Felidae. The transcript is spliced from 3 exons. The record is from RefSeq and is a predicted model, not a curated record.